AUAAGGUCACGGCAAGACAAGCCGAAAUAGGUGUCCAGUAUAAGUGCAGUGAUGUACGCAGCUGAAGCAUACUAACAGACCGGUAGACUUGAAC
RNAcentral lists this ribosomal RNA (94 nucleotides) under Cynomorium coccineum. RNAcentral's name for it is "partial 4.5S ribosomal RNA". Lineage: Eukaryota; Viridiplantae; Streptophyta; Magnoliopsida; Saxifragales; Cynomoriaceae. The record is from RNAcentral.